Long non-coding RNA from Cavia porcellus (domestic guinea pig), 1894 nucleotides. RefSeq lists it as uncharacterized. Lineage: Eukaryota; Metazoa; Chordata; Mammalia; Rodentia; Caviidae. The transcript is spliced from 3 exons. The record is from RefSeq and is a predicted model, not a curated record.
GGUGAGGCUUUUUUGAGGUGGCUAGAUCAGGGUGUGGAUUAAGAGUAUAUAAACAUGGAUUUAAUAUGUUAUAAUUGUAUUAACCUGCUGGUUGAUUUAGAGUAGUUUUGGCUGUAGGUGCCACCAACCUAUAGGCUUACUGCAUCCAGCUUGCCCUGCCAUGGACUGUUUCUCAUCUGUAAUGCUCCUCUGCCGUGCUGCCCUACCUUGGAGCCAGCUGACUAUGGACUGAAACUUCUACAAACUGAGGAGUUCUCCACGGAUUGAUCUGCAGGCCGGAUCAAGUGGCGCCCAACAUGGGGCUCCUGGCAUGGAGGAGUUAACAAGGGAGCCGUUCUAGAGACAGCUGGCUUAAACUGAAAGUGAAAGCAAAUUGAACCAAAGACCGCGGCAAGGAGUGAGCAAACUGAAUCAAGGAUUAAAGCUUAAAGCAACAGGACAUUAAAUCAAGUACCAAGGCCUGUGCAGAUGACUACCCAACGUCCUGCCCGAGUCAUGGUGACACACUCCCUGGAGCCUUAUGCUGCCUAGUCAGCCUUCUCCUUGAGCCAUACCACACCCUUGGUGGAUUUUGACCCCUGCCAAACAGACUACAACUGCUGACAGCCAUACAUAGAAUCCCCUGUGACUGCGGAAGAGGCUCUUCUUGGUCUGGAGGAACAUAUACCAGCCAAACAGACUGCGUCCAAUGUUAUGCGAGGCAUGCUCCAAGACAUAGGAGAAUGACUUCGACAGAGACACCGACAAAUGGCAGUUAACCCCUUCUCCUCGAUGUGUGGGGAGGGGGGUGGAGUUUUUCCCUUACCUAGUGCCCCUUUUGGGUCCCCUAGCUGCCCUAUUGCUUCUCCUUUCUGUGAGUCCUUGUAUUUUUCAGAGGAUUAUGAUGCUCAUUAAUAACCAGAUAGAUGUGUUUAUGGCAAAGCCCAUUCAGGUACACUAUCAUCAGCUGGAGAUGGCAGAUCAACAAACCUACCAGGAAGGAAUUCCCACGAGUGGCCCAUAUGACGAUGCAGCGUAACUGCCCUGGGGCAAUGGACAGGCAGUCAGAGACGGGCAACAAGGACAUGCAUGUUAAUUCCAUCGGCCACCUAAGACAGGCACAGGACCAACUGCUGUUCUGCAAGCCCAUGACAGGUAAGGCCUGGUUGGGUUCAUGCAAUGAGGUCCUUGACCUAAGACAGACACUGUCCGGCAGGGCCUGCCAUACUCUUGAUUAAAUAAUAUAAAAAGGGAGGAAAUGUAGGGAGCCGAGUGACAGCCCAUUGCUGCCUCCCUGCCUCUCUCUCCUAUGGGAACUGAGUCUGCCUACUGUUGGGAGCCGCGGCCGAGCCUGGUCGCCUUACUUGGCGGACGUGAGGCCUGUAGAAAAGAGCAAAGCCCGAGCUAGAUUACCCCUCCCAUCGAGUGAGCCAAGUUAGCGCCUGCUUCCUGCCCCCUGAUUGCCCUGGCGACAUAAACAACCCGCUCUGUAAGAUAGUCUGCCUAGCAACAACUGAUGUUAGCCAAUCAGCCCGCAUCGCGCGCUUUGAACUGAUUGGCCACUGUUACCCUAUAAAAGUAAAUGCCUCUCCCGCCACGAGAAAGAAGCACGAGAGAGAUAGAGAAAGUCCACCGGCGAGAAAGGACUGGUGGCAGAGAGGAGGCCUCGCGGGGCCCACGCGGAGACAAAUAAAGGCAAGGUUGCACACCGCCAGACUUUGUCGUGUGUCUUUCCUGCCGGCCGGGAGCGACCCCGACAGCCUACAUUAACCAUAAUCCUCUCCUGCUUACGUCAUGUAUCCAGAUGUAAUGGUGACCCUGUUGUAUUCACCCCUUAACCUCUUCCUGUCCCACCUCCCGCCCUUGGCUUAUAAAAGAUGUGAUCAUUUCCUGAAUAAACGGAAGCUUGAUCGGA